AAGAUGAAUAAAGAAAAAUUCAUUUUAAUAAAUCUUUCCGACGACAAGCCACCGACCUAAGGGAGGGGCAAUACAUAUU
This 79-nucleotide small RNA is filed under the name Eubacterium sp. CAG:156. Its description in RNAcentral is "GA-cis RNA". It matches the Rfam family "GA-cis RNA". The record is from Rfam by way of RNAcentral. Lineage: Bacteria; Bacillati; Bacillota; Clostridia; Eubacteriales; Eubacteriaceae.